UAAUCCUGUAGUCGAAAAUGUUGUCUCUCUUGAGUGGAUCCUGAGUACGACGGAGCACGUGAAAUUCCGUCGGAAUCUGGGAGGACCAUCUCCUAAGGCUAAAUACUCUCUAGUGACCGAUAGUGAACCAGUACCGUGAGGGAAAGGUGAAAAGCACCCCGGAAGGGGAGUGAAAUAGAACCUGAAACCGUGUGCUUACAAGUAGUCAGAGCCCGUUAAUGGGUGAUGGCGUGCCUUUUGUAGAAUGAACCGGCGAGUUACGAUUUGAUGCAAGGUUAAGCAGUAAAUGUGGAGCCGUAGCGAAAGCGAGUCUGAAUAGGGCGUUUAGUAUUUGGUCGUAGACCCGAAACCAGGUGAUCUACCCUUGGUCAGGUUGAAGUUCAGGUAACACUGAAUGGAGGACCGAACCGACUUACGUUGAAAAGUGAGCGGAUGAACUGAGGGUAGCGGAGAAAUUCCAAUCGAACCUGGAGAUAGCUGGUUCUCUCCGAAAUAGCUUUAGGGCUAGCCUCAAGUGAUGAUUAUUGGAGGUAGAGCACUGUUUGGACGAGGGGCCCCUCUCGGGUUACCGAAUUCAGACAAACUCCGAAUGCCAAUUAAUUUAACUUGGGAGUCAGAACAUGGGUGAUAAGGUCCGUGUUCGAAAGGGAAACAGCCCAGACCACCAGCUAAGGUCCCAAAAUAUAUGUUAAGUGGAAAAGGAUGUGGCGUUGCCCAGACAACUAGGAUGUUGGCUUAGAAGCAGCCAUCAUUUAAAGAGUGCGUAAUAGCUCACUAGUCGAGUGACACUGCGCCGAAAAUGUACCGGGGCUAAACAUAUUACCGAAGCUGUGGAUUGUCCUUUGGACAAUGGUAGGAGAGCGUUCUAAGGGCGUUGAAGCAUGAUCGUAAGGACAUGUGGAGCGCUUAGAAGUGAGAAUGCCGGUGUGAGUAGCGAAAGACGGGUGAGAAUCCCGUCCACCGAUUGACUAAGGUUUCCAGAGGAAGGCUCGUCCGCUCUGGGUUAGUCGGGUCCUAAGCUGAGGCCGACAGGCGUAGGCGAUGGAUAACAGGUUGAUAUUCCUGUACCAC
RNAcentral lists this ribosomal RNA (1071 nucleotides) under Staphylococcus aureus. RNAcentral describes it as "partial 23S ribosomal RNA". It matches the Rfam family "Bacterial large subunit ribosomal RNA", at positions 368 to 1447 of the family's 2925-position model. Lineage: Bacteria; Bacillati; Bacillota; Bacilli; Caryophanales; Staphylococcaceae. The record is from RNAcentral.